UGAACCUAGGUGAAAAGUCUAAACAUGUUCAUGGUGUUAUUCUUUCAUCAUUCCUGUGGGUUUGAAGUGCUUCAAAACAAGGCAUUGGAGAAAGUAUAGCAGUGAACAGACUCACAAUUGGCCUCCUUGUUGAGGUGGCUUUCCAGGGACUACAGUCACAUUUGCCAGCAAAGGACCCUGACAUUCAAGGGCUAUUGUUUGAUUUUGUGUUACUAGCAACAGACUUCCUGGGACUUUGUGAAGGAAGGAGCUGGACUAGUAGGGGCUGCUUUUCAAGCAGAUUCCAAGUGUACGAGAUUCUGAGCUGGCUGAUGACGAUGGCAGGCAUUAAAGGGUGGACAGGUUCCAGUUUGUCUGGUGUUGAGAAAAAAAUAUGCCCUAUAUCUUAGACAGCCGUGAUAAGGUGCCUCCAUGGAUAUGAGUAAUGGUCAGACCCAGGGGAUGGACAGGCCUAAGAAGUCUGGACAACGGAAAGCCUGGAGCACCGCGACAAGGAAAUUCUUCCCCUGAAUUGCCUUUUCCUAUUGAGAUAAGAUAAUGCACAAUAAAGCGUGGGGCUACAGAGAAGUGCUGCCACCACCCACAGCGAGCAGCCUUUGCACAGGCCCAGUGGAGGAGGCACGUAGCCUCCAGGGGGCUGAAGCUGGCCUGCUACCCACGGGAUAGAACCAUUGACCUUAGAUCCUGAGGCAGGUCGUGACUCCCAACACUCACCAGCUGUGGAACUCUGAUUCCCAUUAUUCUUUUUUUUUUUCUUCUUUUUCUUAGUUAUGGUGCUGGGGAUGGAACCCAGUGCCUUGUGCACGCUAAACACAUUCUAUACUCCAGUCACCAGCCACACCACCAGUGCCGGAGUCCCUUUAUUCUUUUAAAAAAAAAGACUACAUGUGUGUGUCUCUAUAUAUGUAUAUAUACCCCUCUUCUACCUUACUGAAUGGUUGCAAAAAGUGAUAAUAAAUCAUGAAAGGACUUUGUCAACUCCUAA
Molecule: long non-coding RNA, 985 nt
Filed under: Marmota monax (woodchuck)
Lineage: Eukaryota; Metazoa; Chordata; Mammalia; Rodentia; Sciuridae
Source: RNAcentral